RNAcentral lists this ribosomal RNA (491 nucleotides) under uncultured bacterium. RNAcentral's name for it is "partial 16S ribosomal RNA". It matches the Rfam family "Bacterial small subunit ribosomal RNA", at positions 29 to 506 of the family's 1533-position model. The record is from RNAcentral.
AGUUAACGCUGGCGGUAGGCCUAACACAUGCAAGUCGAACGGCAGCACAGUAAGAGCUUGCUCUUACGGGUGGCGAGUGGCGGACGGGUGAGGAAUACAUCGGAAUCUACUUUUUCGUGGGGGAUAACGUAGGGAAACUUACGCUAAUACCGCAUACGACCUACGGGUGAAAGCAGGGGAUCUUCGGACCUUGCGCGAUUGAAUGAGCCGAUGUCGGAUUAGCUAGUUGGCGGGGUAAAGGCCCACCAAGGCGACGAUCCGUAGCUGGUCUGAGAGGAUGAUCAGCCACACUGGAACUGAGACACGGUCCAGACUCCUACGGGAGGCAGCAGUGGGGAAUAUUGGACAAUGGGCGCAAGCCUGAUCCAGCCAUACCGCGUGGGUGAAGAAGGCCUUCGGGUUGUAAAGCCCUUUUGUUGGGAAAGAAAAGCAGCAGGUUAAGACCCCGCUGUUCUGACGGUACCCAAAGAAGAAGCACCGGCUAACUUCGU